UUUAUUGUAUAUUAUUUUUGAUAGGGCCGCGGUAGUACUAAAUCCAAAGAUCACACCGAUAUGGUUUUCCAAAAACUCGAUAUCAAUCAAGAUGGAGUGAUUACGUUUGAAGAAUUUAUCGAAUCAUGUUUAAAGGACGAGGCAAUCACGAAAUCAUUACAAAUUUUCGACUCCAGGUCCCUAUGAUUGUCGCUAUCCUCCACCGACUCUGUGGAAGUAUCACUUCUGUCAUUUGAUCAGUCUGCUGGUCAGUCGGAGGAGGAGCAAUGCAGCCAACUACGACAAGCAGACAACGAGUCUUCCCAAAACAAUAUUUUCUUUGAUUUCUAAUGUAAAUAAUAAUCAAAUAUUAUUAUAAUGACCGUUUUGGUUAAUAUUCGGGAAUAUUCCUUCCGAAUGUAUUUGGCCGUUACACUUUUAUACGGAUGUGUGAUAAUCGGUUCAUUUUUGUUCUAUUAAAAGUGGCAUCCAUUUGGCGCCAUUAUUGCUCGGUCCGUCCUAUAUAUUGUUACCGUGUUUAACGUAGGUACAUUAUACUACAUACCAAACAUUCAUGUCUCGAUCUUUGUAGAUUUAUUAUAAUAAUUGUUUACUGUUGGUGACUACUAACAAUUGUUGGUCUGUUUUUGUUAUCACAUAGUAGGUAGGUAACUCAAAAAUAUUGAGAACCAUAAUAUUAUAUUUGGCGAAGACUAAACAUUAUUGU
Long non-coding RNA from Acyrthosiphon pisum (pea aphid), 706 nucleotides. RefSeq lists it as uncharacterized. The transcript is spliced from 2 exons. The record is from RefSeq and is a predicted model, not a curated record. NCBI's taxonomy places the organism in Eukaryota, Metazoa, Arthropoda, Insecta, Hemiptera, Aphididae.